Pseudoliparis swirei is the source of this 4225-nucleotide long non-coding RNA. RefSeq lists it as uncharacterized. The transcript has 5 exons. The record is from RefSeq and is a predicted model, not a curated record. Lineage: Eukaryota; Metazoa; Chordata; Actinopteri; Perciformes; Liparidae.
GUGUCUAAGUGUGUCUGUCUUUCUGUCUGUGUGUGCGUCUCUAUGUGUGUGUCUGUCUGUGUGUCUGUCUUUCUGUGUGUGUGACUGUGUGUCUUUGUGUCUCUGCGUGUGUGUUUCUGUGUGUAUGUCUGUCUGUCGUUCUGUGUCUGUCUUUCUGUGUGUGUGCGUGUCUGUCUGUGUGUGUCUGUCUGUGUGUGUGACUGUGUGAGUGUGUGUGCCUGUCUGUGUGUGUGACUGUGUGAGUGUGUGUGUGACCGUCUGUCACAAGUAGAUUGAGGCCUCAUCUAGUUUGAGCUGCUCGUGUCUCUUGACCCUUAAAGGUCAUCUCAGGGUCAAAUAGAUUCUUCUGCUUCCUUGAAACAUUAAAAACAGACUCGGCUGCUCGACAGAUCAAAGUUGAGCCGGCGGCUCACAUGUUCUCAAGCUGAGCCUCAGAGGAGGAUGAUGAUGAUGAUGAUGAUGACAGGGCGUCUUCAUCACUUAUGUCACGAUGGACGUGUCUUUGGUGGAAGACAUGAAAUACAGCUUUGGAUUUCAAAGGGAUGAAGGUUUUUUAAAAGCCUCUCCGUCCUCCACACAUUCCAUCCUGCAGACUGGAUCCUCUCGGUGUGUUUUCAAUUCAUGUUCCAGUUCACCGUGAUCUUUGCGGUCGCUUAAAAAAAAAAGAUUAUAAAUCACAAAGAAAACAAAAAACAGAUGUCUGGAAAGCUCCCGGCAACAGGUAGCAGACUGAAGUAGGGGGGAAUCGGAACUCUGUGCAGUCGUUGCCUGGCAACGAAACAUUUCCAUAUCCCUGCGGCAACGGAGCCGAGGCGACUCCGCAGGGCGCCGCUGAGCGCGCGUGUGUGUGUGUGCGUGUGCGUGCGUGUGUGCGUGCGUGUGUGUGUGCGCGUGUGUGUGUGCGUGUGUGUGCGUGUGUGUGUGUGCAUGCGUGCGUGUGCGUGUGCACGUGUGUGUGUGUGCGCGUGUGUGCGCGCGUGUGUGUGCGUGUGCACGUGUGUGUGUGCACGUGUGUGUGUGCGUGCGUGUGUGUGUGUGCGCGUGUGCAGGGUUUUUCCUGCAUAGAGAACAUUUGGGCGCGCGCCUAAGCCGUUUUCCCGAGCGCCUAAGGCAAAAAAAGUCCGCGAUGAAAAAAAACAAAAAAAACUGUGUUCAUCACGUGCAUGUCAGCGAAUAUGUUCUCAAUAGUAUGUUUCAAGUAGGCUACAGCCGAACCCUCGUUCUGGUUUGAUCAAUAGUAAUCGAGUUAAUAAGCGUGUCUUCUUGUCUGAUCAAUACGCAACUGUGAGGUGCGCGAAUGGACAGAGCGGCCAGCUGCUGAUCACUCAACAGCCCGACGUGCACGAAUACACCUGGACUAUUGUCAAUAGGGAUGCACCGAUCUGAUCGGCGCCGAUCCAUAUCGGCCGAUAUUCCCAUUAUCGGUUUUGAUCGGCGCUCUCAAAACGGCUGAUCAGAUAGCAGUCAGUUCUGGGCCGACUCUGGCUGUCUUCCGCCAGUGUCGGCUGACUCACGUACAGAUUAUCAGUGUAUAUGCCAGACUCGGUCCAGAAGUGGACGUAGCAUUGCAAUAUGUUGGCAGUAAAGCUAUUACUGGGCCAAAGGUUGUUACAUAGGUCAUGGCCCAAUACUAUGCCGUUAGUUGUUGGCCCACAACACCGACUGCAUGCAACCGUCUGUGAAGUAUACAUGCCGUUGCUGGGCCAGAACCGAUAACACUAACAUCAACCAGCAUUUAUUUAUGCCAGGUGCAACAGGGAAGGUUACAUUGUUUUUAACUACAGCCUGUCCCGAACUGACGCACUCGUGUCUACAUUUCACAAAAUGCAAUUGUCUUGUCCAACCAACUGCCAGUUAAAUACACAUUAUAAAAUAGCACAUCUACCUAGUUUUUAUUCCAUUAGUUUUUAUUUAGUCAAUCACAGUCGUAAAAGAAAGUAAAGCUGAUCGUGUGAAAUCCCGGGGGAACACCAGCGGGAGACCCUGAUGAAUAUACCAAGCGCUCCUCAAAACCUCGACGUGGUUGGGAAACAACGGUCUGCCUUCAAGUGCGCAGUGAAUUUCAUCGGCGUCAGUCCACUAUCGGUAAGUACAAACAUAUUUGUUAAAAAUAUAUAUUUGAGUCCCCACAAUCAAAAGGUUGUCUGUUAGUAGUGCGCACUGUGUUUAACAGUUUCGAUACCUAUUCUUUCUCAGCUGAAUUUCUAUUAGCGGCAGCUAUACUCUUGCUAGCUAACGUUAGUUCAGUCAGGUUUCCACUGAGUCAGAGUUUCAGUUUUUCUCAUUGAAUUAUAAAUAUAAAGGGGGGCUGUACGUUUUUCAUAGAGGAAAGCUCUCAUUUUAAAAGCUGAUAUUCAUAUCUUUUUAACAGUCAAACUCCCUCCCUCAUUAAAACCUGCUGUGUCAUGCCACAAUGUGAUCGUCUGCCAGGAACUGACUGUCGUUUGAGACACCGGUUAGCUCACGAUUAUUUAGUUUUCCAUCGAUAAAAUUCAAUACUUUUGAAUCAGAAAUGGAGGUUAAGGUGUAAGUAAGCGGAGGGCUACUUGGAUUUGGCAUGACUUAUAUUUUCAAAUGCAAACUUUACAUGACAAUCGCUUUAUUUUCUUUGUUGAGGACAUUGACAAAAUCUGGCGGGAAACGUGUGUAAUCCUGCAGUAAGGGUGCGGCCCAGGCGCGUCUCUAAGAUUUGGAUACAUCCGGGGCUUAGCCAGUGCGAGCGUUGUCGACGACGGGGGGGGGGGGGGGUGCUAGUGAGAGUGUGCUCACCUGUGUGCGCGGAUGUGUCGCGCGUAUCACGGCAGAGCGAUGCGCGUUAUGGGAGCGGCGGCGCUGGGCUUAGCCCAGAGGAGUGAAGCAGCGAAAUGUGUAGACAUAGAAACACUCUCAGACAGAAGCUUGCUGUUACGUGCGCCUGCUGCCAGUCUGACUCCGCUGUUUUGGGUGAAUGACGUCACGUGCGACCUGGAGGUGUUAACCACUUGUGUACCAAAUCUUUUUUAUUUUUUGGUUGAAAACAUUCGGGGCUAAUGAAAAGCCACUGGUGCGGCCCACAUCGAUAUACCGACAACGGCCCAGUAGUAGGUAACGCGGUGUGGGCCGCCUGUUGAGGAAAGGUGUUCAGGUAUUAUUGUGAUGAUAUAAUUUUAUAAAAAAUGUAAACAUCUGGUUUUACGCAUCGACGCAGGCCCCGCCUCCAAAGGGUUAAGCGAGGCCUUUCACUAAGCAAAAAUAAGUAAGAAAGGUAAUAAGAAUCCAAACUGUGGUUUAAAUGUUUUGUAUUCUGUCAGCAAUGCAUUUAACUCUAAUUAACUCUUGUUUGUCUCUGUCCUCUUUACAUAAGCUGUCCAGUUCCCUCAGAAACCAGGACAUUCAUUCAGCAGAAGGCCACAAGACAGUUCACCAAGUGGGAGCUGCAGCGGGACGCCUGCAGGAGUUGACUAUUCUGAUCAUCCAGGGCCUCAGCCAGUGCCUGUGCCAUCCUGGAGUCGUCAGGCCCCAUUUGAAACUACAACCUCAUUAAUGCGGGAAAUGCUUGACUAAACAGGAGAUGAUUCUCGAGCAACAAACACGCAUCCUACAGAUUCUACAUGCAAGAAAGAAAGAUGCGUCUCAAUUUGAAAUAGAUGAGGGUCUCCUGCCAGUAAGGGGCCAGCAAGGCCUCCAACGUCUUGAAAGCCAACUUCAGGAAUCUGACUUUCGAUCAAAACUGAUAAACCAUCUCAGCCUGAUUGGCGGAAGUGAUGUCAAGGAUACGUUUUGGCGUCUCAUGAAGACAACAAUCUCAAACACCCUGGCAAAGGAAACCAAUUGGAGAGGAGUAAAUGGGACGGCUGAAGACGGCUGUAAUCGCUGCCGUACGGAAGAACCCACUGACAUCGAGGGCUUCUGAACGUGAGGUGGAGAUGUUCAUGAAGAGGUGGAGAUGUUCAUGAAGAGGUGGAGAUGUUCAUGAAGAGGUGGCUACAGCUGGCAGCGGACAGAGAAGGGGGCAGAAGAAGGCGAGCCCAAAUACCUUCAGCUCCCUGAACUUGUUGAUUAUUGUUAUAUUGAUACUUGUUAUAUUGAUUGUUAAGCUCUUCAAUACAUUGUUUUAAAAAUAAGUUUAGCUCCAUUAACUUGUUGGUUAUUGUUAUAUUGAUACUUGUUAUCUUGAUUGUUGCUCUAUUUCAAUACAUUGAUUUACAAAUACUGUACAAUUUUAAUUAAAGUUGAGUUAAACUUU